GAUGAAGAACGCAGCGAAAUGCGAUAAGUAAUGUGAAUUGCAGAAUUCAGUGAAUCAUCGAAUCUUUGAACGCACAUUGCGCCCGCCAGUAUUCUGGCGGGCAUGCCUGUUCGAGCGUCAUUACAGCCCUCAGGCCCCCGGGCCUGGCGUUGGGGAUCGGCGGAAGCCCCCUGCGGGCACAACGCCGUCCCCCAAAUACAGUGGCGGUCCCGCCGCAGCUUCCAUUGCGUAGUAGCUAACACCUCGCAACUGGAGAGCGGCGCGGCCACGCCGUAAAACACCCAACUUCUGAAUGUUGACCUCGAAUCAGGUAGGAAUACCCGCUGAACUUAAGCAUAUCAAUAAGCGGAGGA
This 353-nucleotide unclassified non-coding RNA is filed under the name soil metagenome. Its description in RNAcentral is "partial contains 5.8S ribosomal RNA, internal transcribed spacer 2, and large subunit ribosomal RNA". The stretch from base 1 to 120 matches the Rfam family "5.8S ribosomal RNA", at positions 35 to 154 of the family's 154-position model. The record is from RNAcentral.